AGCGAACGCUGGCGGCAUGCCUAACACAUGCAAGUCGCACGGGGGGGCUUCGGCCUCCCAGUGGCGGACGGGUGAGGAACGCGUAGGGACCUGUCGAGGGGUGGGGGAUAACCGCGGGAAACUGCGGCUAAUACCGCAUGACGCCGCGGCGUGACAGCCGGGGCCAAAGGCGAAAGCCGCCCGCCGAGGGGCCUGCGUCCGAUUAGCUGGUUGGCGGGGUAGCAGCCCACCAAGGCGUCGAUCGGUAGCUGGUCUGAGAGGGUGAUCAGCCACACCGGGACUGAGACACGGCCCGGACUCCUACGGGAGGCAGCAGUGGGGAAUAUUGGACAAUGGGCGCAAGCCUGAUCCAGCAAUGCCGCGUGGGUGAAGAAGGUCUUCGGAUUGUAAAGCCCUUUCGGCGGGGACGAUGGUGACGGUACCCGCAGAAGAAGCCCCGGCUAACUUCGUG
This 451-nucleotide ribosomal RNA is filed under the name uncultured bacterium. RNAcentral's name for it is "partial 16S ribosomal RNA". It matches the Rfam family "Bacterial small subunit ribosomal RNA", at positions 28 to 507 of the family's 1533-position model. The record is from RNAcentral.